RNAcentral lists this ribosomal RNA (404 nucleotides) under uncultured bacterium. RNAcentral's name for it is "bacterial SSU rRNA". It matches the Rfam family "Bacterial small subunit ribosomal RNA", at positions 355 to 776 of the family's 1533-position model. The record is from RNAcentral.
UGGGGAAUAUUGGACAAUGGGCGAAAGCCUGAUCCAGCCAUGCCGCGUGAGUGAAGAAGGCCCUAGGGUUGUAAAGCUCUUUCAGCGGGGACGAUAAUGACGGUACCCGCAGAAGAAGUCCCGGCUAACUUCGUGCCAGCAGCCGCGGUAAUACGAAGGGGACUAGCGUUGUUCGGAAUUACUGGGCGUAAAGCGCGCGUAGGCGGACAUUUAAGUCAGGGGUGAAAUGCCAGGGCUCAACCUUGGAAUUGCCUUUGAUACUGGAUGUCUGGAGUUCGGGAGAGGUGAGUGGAAUUCCGAGUGUAGAGGUGAAAUUCGUAGAUAUUCGGAGGAACACCAGAAGCGAAGGCGGCUCACUGGCCCGAUACUGACGCUGAGGCGCGAAAGCGUGGGGAGCAAACAGG